GACAGAGGGUGCGAACGUUGUUCGGAAUUACUGGGCGUAAAGCGUGCGUAGGCGGUUUGUUAAGUCUGUCGUGAAAGCCCCGGGCUCAACCUGGGAAUGGCGAUGGAUACUGGCGAGCUAGAGUACGGUAGAGGAGAGUGGAAUUCCCGGUGUAGCAGUGAAAUGCGUAGAGAUCGGGAGGAACAUCAGUUGCGAAGGCGGCUCUCUGGACCAGUACUGACGCUGAGGCACGAAAGCGUGGGGAGCAAACAGG
RNAcentral lists this ribosomal RNA (253 nucleotides) under uncultured bacterium. RNAcentral's name for it is "partial 16S ribosomal RNA". It matches the Rfam family "Bacterial small subunit ribosomal RNA", at positions 524 to 776 of the family's 1533-position model. The record is from RNAcentral.